Molecule: ribosomal RNA, 301 nt
Filed under: uncultured bacterium
Lineage: Bacteria
Description: partial 16S ribosomal RNA
Rfam family: Bacterial small subunit ribosomal RNA
Source: RNAcentral
CAGCCGCCGCGGUAAUACGUAGGGUGCGAGCGUUAAUCGGAAUUACUGGGCGUAAAGCGUGCGCAGGCGGUUUUGUAAGACAGGCGUGAAAUCCCCGGGCUCAACCUGGGAAUGGCGCUUGUGACUGCAAAGCUAGAGUGCGGCAGAGGGGGAUGGAAUUCCGCGUGUAGCAGUGAAAUGCGUAGAUAUGCGGAAGAACACCGAUGGCGAAGGCAAUCCCCUGGGCCUGCACUGACGCUCAUGCACGAAAGCGUGGGGAGCAAACAGGAUUAGAGACCCGCGUAGUCCCUGUCUCUUAUAC